CAGACUGCACAGAUCCUCUGUCCAUCACACAUUUCCUCAAUUAUAACAUAAGGAAAAAGAUAUAUGUACCGAUAGGGAUAACCGAACCGUGUCCCCCCUCUCACGAAUCAUGUGGGCCCCACGUGUAUUUAAAAAAUCCGAGCCGUGGUUCCCAUCCUAUAUUAUGAGUAUUGGGUAAAAGAUUAGGUAAAAUUUUUAUGUACAUGUAGCAUGGUCCAUAAUAUAAGUGGGUUUAAUUAACUAACGCAUUUUAUUUAAUGGGGCUAUACACCCUUUUAAUAAAGGCAAAAGUCCCAUUUUCUCCAUUCUAACGUAACGUGUUUAAUUAACUAAGACAAUUUAUUUAAAAACUGAAUUUAAUUAAAGUAAAACGGCACAGUGUGGACUUAAUCAAAACAACGUUGCAGGCAAUUUCAAUUUCAGCGAAUGAGAUAUGCUACACCUGACACUUAGGCCGGGAUGAAUCCAGGAAUCUUUUCCAUUGCCUUCACUUCCUCAGGUGAUAAUCUAGCAGCAAAACCUUUAAAAAUAAUAUCAUAGGCAUGGAUAAUGCGAGAUUCCUCAUCUGCUGUGGUUUUGGGCAAAAAUGUUUGAUACUAGCUAAGCAGAUCAUCUGAAGAAUUGGGAGGCGGAUCAACGCGAACAAUAUAUGGUAGCAGAUUACUGUUGCAUAGGAGAGAGAAGAAAAUACAGAAGAAAGUAAGAAACUGCAAGAAACCCAUCAUUCUUUGUGAUUACUGCAAAAGAAAGUAAUAUGUAUGGAAUGCAAUGAAGCUCACAUUAUAGGCGUGCACUAUAAUGACAGUUUCCAGGAUUAAUAACAGAAAACACCCCAGCAAUUGGCUGCCAAGACUUUAUUUUUCACCAGCCAUCAUAUUUCCUUACUCCACCUACUGCCCUAAAUUCCCAACACACAGUGCACAUGUCCACAAGAAAAUACCAAAUAGAUCUGUACUGUCUCUCCAUAGAUUUUAAACAUAUAAUUAUUCAAGAAAGGGCCAAAAUCCCAUAAUUUUAUGUAAAAUAAAUAAAUAAAAAUUGAAGGGAUUUGAUCUAGUUUUCAUACACACGCAACUAGAGGAAAAAAAUGUUAGAAUCCCAUAAAUUAUCGAGGAAAAAAAUGAGGAAAAUUGAUCGGAUAAACGCCCUGUUACGGACGAGUUAAUUUUGAAAAUUUUCCUGCACAUGGAUCCGGAGAUGGUGCUCCGGGGGCUCGGCGGCCAUCCCCUCCAUUUAGGUGCCUCCGCCAGUCCCAUCUCAAUUGACCUCCGCCGGUUUAUCCAUGUUCAUAACAAGUUCUUCCACAAGAGCAUCUCAGUCUCGCCCCAUGUCCAAUCUGUAAGGAACCAAAAUCAGACUCUAUAGCUUAGAUCUCAUAAACAUAACCCAAGAAAUACACAAAUUUCAUCGCACUAAUACCCCAAAAAAUCAUAAUUGAAUGAAUAUCAAAGAGUCCAACCAAACGAGUAACAAGGGCAUCACAGCCAUUGAGAGAAAGCACAAUUCAGGUUUUAACUAAUCGGCGAAUGAAAAGGAGGAAACGGUUUCCACAAUGACUUUUGACCCACAUUUAAGAAAAAAUGCUUAAAAUGUAAAUAAAAGACAAAUGGGCUAAAAUACCCACGAAGAAAAGAAAAGAGAAGAGAAUAGAAGAGAAAAAAAUAAUAAUAAUAAUUUGUGUAGUGGCUCUAAAUUGUGUAAUCUGUAACGAAAAUACAGAGCUGACUCUUAGAAAAUUGAGGCCCUAGGCAACUAAUA
RNAcentral lists this long non-coding RNA (1758 nucleotides) under Olea europaea (common olive). RNAcentral's name for it is "long non-coding RNA (OEUR_LNC002746)". The record is from RNAcentral. Lineage: Eukaryota; Viridiplantae; Streptophyta; Magnoliopsida; Lamiales; Oleaceae.